RNAcentral lists this ribosomal RNA (444 nucleotides) under uncultured bacterium. Its description in RNAcentral is "partial 16S ribosomal RNA". It matches the Rfam family "Bacterial small subunit ribosomal RNA", at positions 339 to 795 of the family's 1533-position model. The record is from RNAcentral.
CUACGGGCUGCUCCAGUGGGGAAUAUUGCACAAUGGGCGAAAGCCUGAUGCAGCAACGCCGCGUGAGGGACGACGGCCUUCGGGUUGUAAACCUCUUUUAGCAGGGAAGAAGCGAAAGUGACGGUACCUGCAGAAAAAGCACCGGCUAACUACGUGCCAGCAGCCGCGGUAAUACGUAGGGUGCAAGCGUUGUCCGGAAUUAUUGGGCGUAAAGAGCUCGUAGGCGGUUUGUCGCGUCUGCUGUGAAAAUCCGAGGCUCAACCUCGGACCUGCAGUGGGUACGGGCAAACUAGAGUGCGGUAGGGGAGAUUGGAAUUCCUGGUGUAGCGGUGGAAUGCGCAGAUAUCAGGAGGAACACCAAUGGCGAAGGCAGAUCUCUGGGCCGUAACUGACGCUGAGGAGCGAAAGCGUGGGGAGUGAACAGGAUUAGAUACCCCAGUAGUC